This 1849-nucleotide unclassified non-coding RNA is filed under the name Hevea brasiliensis (rubber tree). The record is from RNAcentral. Lineage: Eukaryota; Viridiplantae; Streptophyta; Magnoliopsida; Malpighiales; Euphorbiaceae.
GAAAAUUCUUUCCCUUGUUCAUUUUUCAUUUUCUUGGUUUGGCUCUCUCAAAGCAAAACAAACCCUCGUCUCCUUCCAUUACCUGCAAAAUUCUCAGAGCAAAACGCUAACAGUAAUCCAACACAUAGCCGUUGCAGAGACACUGAUACGGUCUGGCCGAGAGGAGUUGUUUAUGGAAAUUAUUGAAUCGCUGAGUUGAAUCGGACCAGGGACAGACAGAGAUCUGAGUCUAGUCAAUAGAUGCACUAAUGGGUGCUGCAGGCUCCAAACUCGAGAAAGCUCUUGGCGACCAGUUCCCUGAGGGCGAGCGAUACUUUGGCCUUGAGAAUUUUGGCAACACUUGCUACUGUAAUAGCGUCUUGCAGGCACUUUACUUCUGUGUACCAUUUCGAGAACAAUUACUAGAAUAUUAUGCUACUAAUAAAAAUACUGGGGAUGCCGAAGAGAAUCUCUUGACAUGUUUAGCAGACCUAUUUACGCAGAUAAGUUCGCAGAAGAAGAAAACAGGUGUAAUUGCUCCAAAGCGUUUCGUACAGAGAUUGAAAAAACAAAAUGAGCUUUUCCGUAGCUAUAUGCACCAGGUACAUGUUCAUUUGUAACUGAUUGAUGAAUAGAGGGAUCAGUUUGACAUAUACAUUUACACUACAGUAACAAAACUUUAUAGAUCAGUAAAUAUUUAUCUAUAUAUUUUUCAUGCAUAUUCUUCAUGCAGGAUGCUCAUGAAUUUUUAAAUUUUUUGCUAAAUGAACUUGUUGACAUACUGGAGAAGGAGGCUCAAGCUGUAAAAAGUGAUCCAGAAACUUCAUCCCCACCUGAAAAGACUGCAAAUGGGCCAAAGAAUGCUCAGGCAAAUGGUGUUUCAAAGGAGCCUUUGGUGACUUGGGUGCACAAAAAUUUUCAGGGGAUUCUCACCAAUGAGACAAGAUGUCUGCAGUGUGAGACAGUUACAGCAAGAGAUGAAACAUUUUUCGACUUGAGCCUUGAUAUUGAACAGAAUAGUUCAAUAACUAGCUGUUUGAAAAAUUUUAGUUCCACAGAGACUUUGAAUGCAGAGGAUAAGUUUUUCUGUGACAAGUGCUGCAGCUUGCAAGAAGCCCAGAAGAGGAUGAAGAUAAAGAAACCUCCUCACAUCUUGGUGAUCCAUCUGAAGAGGUUCAAAUACAUUGAGCAGUUGGGUCGGUACAAGAAGCUAUCUUAUCGAGUUGUCUUCCCACUUGAGCUUAAGCUGAGUAACACCAUGGAAGAUGCAGAUAUUGAAUACUCAUUAUUUGCAGUAGUUGUUCAUGUUGGAAGUGGACCCAAUCAUGGACAUUAUGUCAGCCUCGUCAAAAGCCACAAUCACUGGCUAUUUUUUGAUGACGAAAAUGUGGAGAUUAUUGAUGAGUCUGUUGUGCAAACAUUUUUUGGGUCAGCACAGGAAUAUUCAAGUAAUACGGAUCAUGGGUACAUCUUGUUUUAUGAGAGCCUUGGUGCUAGUAGCAAGAGUUGAGAAGAGGAUACUUUGGUUUUACAAGUAGGUACUUGAAACGUUUGGACUGAUCUUGUCUUUUCCUCAUUUUCUGUUAUUAUUGGUUUUCUUUUCCCUUUAGUCCUUCAACCACUGGGAACUGGGAAGAGCUCUCAAAUUUAGACAUUUGAGAUGACGAUGAUAUGGGUUGUUGAAAAAUGUAUACUUGGGUUGUUUCCAUGUACAGUGGAUGGUGGAAGCACACAGUCCUUUUGUUUUUUCAGAAUAAGAAGAAAGAAAGAUUAGUGUAUAUGGUGUGAGAGAAAUUCACAGACGCUUGUAUUCUUCAUGGUUGAGAAUGUUUAAUCAAAACAUUAGAAAUGCAAUCCAAUUGGAAUUUUC